UGGGGAAUCUUGGACAAUGGGGGCAACCCUGAUCCAGCCAUGCCGCGUGAGUGAUGAAGGCCUUAGGGUCGUAAAGCUCUUUCGCCUGUGAAGAUAAUGACGGUAGCAGGUAAAGAAACCCCGGCUAACUCCGUGCCAGCAGCCGCGGUAAUACGGAGGGGGUUAGCGUUGUUCGGAAUUACUGGGCGUAAAGCGCACGUAGGCGGACCAGAAAGUUGGGGGUGAAAUCCCGGGGGCUCAACCCCGGAACUGCCUCCAAAACUAUUGGUCUAGAGUUCGAGAGAGGUGAGUGGAAUUCCAAGUGUAGAGGUGAAAUUCGUAGAUAUUUGGAGGAACACCAGUGGCGAAGGCGGCUCACUGGCUCGAUACUGACGCUGAGGUGCGAAAGUGUGGGGAGCAAACAGGAUUAGAUACCCUGGUAGUCCACACCGUAAAACGAUGAAUGCCAGUCGUCGGGUAGCAUGCUAUUCGGUGACACACCUAACGGAUUAAGCAUUCCGCCUGGGGAGUACGGC
RNAcentral lists this ribosomal RNA (515 nucleotides) under uncultured bacterium. Its description in RNAcentral is "bacterial SSU rRNA". It matches the Rfam family "Bacterial small subunit ribosomal RNA", at positions 355 to 886 of the family's 1533-position model. The record is from RNAcentral.